Cavia porcellus (domestic guinea pig) is the source of this 5989-nucleotide long non-coding RNA. RefSeq lists it as uncharacterized. The transcript is spliced from 2 exons. Lineage: Eukaryota; Metazoa; Chordata; Mammalia; Rodentia; Caviidae. The record is from RefSeq and is a predicted model, not a curated record.
GUGAAGAGGGCUGUGUGGGAGGCAGAUUUGGCCUGCAUAAUUACUUUCAAAGAAAGAAGUGGGUUGCUGAGAAGGAGAGUUUGUUUGUGACCUUAUCGCUGAGCAGAAAGGUCCACGCUCAGGAGUCCUUCACCACUUCUGCUAACAGGGUGGCGAGGGUGACUCCCUAGUAUCGUCACAUCUGGGCUUUUCAGGGAGGUGAAGGGUGUUUUGCAGAAUCCUUUUAAAGAUGCCCCUUUUCCGUGUAGUGACCGCUGAUAUCUUGCCGCAGUGGGCAGAGGAAGCAGAUGCUUAGUGGCCCCUGUGGGCCAGGACACGAAAAGCUGUUUGAGGGAGUAAUUCAGCUUUUUACUACUUUGGCUUUUAACCUCAGAAAUGGCACUUACAUAGUUGGUGAGGGGAGAACUUGGUUGGCUCCUGUAUUUACUGCAUGGCCUAACCCCGAGGUCUGUUUGUUCAGUUAGUGUUUGGAGAUCCACUUGGUGGAUGGCGGGAAGUGGUCACUGUCUAUGAUGUUUUGCUUACCCUGUAAUCUGGCCCUUGCUGUCUAAGAAAGAGAUGAUCCAACUCCACUGCCUAACAUUGUUCACCCCAAGAGGCCUUCUUCACCCCAUUGUUCAUGAAAGCUUUUGUCGAAACUUAGCGAAUCUCCCUUUCUUAGUGAUCCUGUGAUCUGGCAGCAUUUUUCACAAGUUACAGUUAUUCAAAAGUAGCUUCUGGAAGGAAAGUUGAGAAGACCACCUGGCCUUCCCUCCCAGGCAGAUGUGUCACUCAUCCUGUGGUUUAUUCUCAGCUACAUGGCCGAGUUUGUGUCACAGAUGCCUGCAAUAAUCAGCUUAGGAAAAGGUGGUUUUGGCCCAAAGUUUUUGAGGUUUCUCUGCAUGCAGAGUCCAGGCACGGGCUGCUUUUGGUGCUGUGACUGAGAGGCAGACAUCCUUUGGAGCAAAACCACUCACCUUUUGGGCAUAAAGCAAAAGUGAUAACUUAAUCUGGGCAUCUUAAAGGGGCAUCUUUAAAAGGAUUCUGGAACAGAGGUUCCCUUGGAGAGCAUGCCCCAGUGUCCUUAUAACCUGCACAGCAAAACUUAGCAGCUUAGAGGUAGGGGCUUCUCCAGACUUUCCUUGCUGAGGGCAUAAAUAAUAGCCCUCCUUUUCUCAGCCCAGAGGAAGUGACAGAAUAUGGCAUGCUGGCCCAAGAGGCCCUAGACCAUUUCCUUUGCCCGGGAGAGAGGGAUCCCGGUUAGAAUCUCGGGAUGUGCAUGGUCCCACAGCGUGUCCCUCCUUGCUGUUCCUGCUGUGCAAGACCGCACACCUGCACCCCCCGCAGAGGAGUCGGCCAUUUGAAGCAAAGAGGCUGCCCGUCUCCUCAGCACUGGCUUUGGAUAAAACCUUUUUUCUUCUCUUCAAAAUACAUGGCCUCCAAGAAUUGACCAGCAGUGAGCAAACAAACCUGAGCCUUUGGACUUAGGUCUGGUAAUAACCUGAAGUCCUCCCACCAAGCCUCCCCUCCUGAGGUUUCCUCCCCCCUCCCAAGAGUGCCACACCUUCAACACACGGGCCUUUGGGGAAUCCGUCAGAUCUAAACAACAGUCAGUGUCUUUCAGACCAUUCGGCCAGUCACUGCAGUGAGGACCCCAAACUAGACAUUUCUGCCUCAAUACUUCGCACCUCAACUGUGACCUGUUUUGUGUGAGCGUUAAUGAUACAGAGAGUUUCGAAAGAACUCAGAGGCAGGGUGGUAGGUGGCUUGCCCAGCAUUGUGCAAGAACGUGUUGCCGACGGUGGUUUUGAGUACUGAGGGUUAAAUGCGUGUGUGCAAGGCCAGUGCCCUGCCACUGAGCUGUGCCCAACCUUGCCUAGCUGCCUUUAUUAUAGACUGUGCUUCAACUUUGAGAUAAAACGUUUUUUUUUCUUCUAGAAACUGAGUGUAAGUGUUGCCCUGUCACGAGGCGUUCCCUGUGUAGAGCCAGCGCCUGUUUGCAGUACUGGGAUGAACCCAGGGUCUGCACACUGAAAGACACCCCAGCCCUUUUCUAUGUUUCACUUUGAGACCGGGGCUCGUUAAAUUACCCAGGCUGGGCUCAAACAUGGUCUUCCGGCCUCACUGUCCCUGAGUGCUGGAAUUACAGACACGCAUAUGCCCCUGUGCCUGGUUCAGGGGUGGUUUUAAAAAUUUAGUUUCUGGGAUUUCAUUUUAUUUAGCAUUCAACUUACAGCUUGUUUAGCUAAGAAUAAUGUACUUUUCUGUGACUUCCAAGCCCCCUAUUAAAAACAUGUACAUAUUUAGAGUAGUCUUUCCUUUGUAUCAGUCCUCUCUUCUGUUAAGCUUUAAAAUUGACCUUCACUAUAAAAUAUGAAAUUUCUUGGCAAACUUUCCAAAUGAGAUCCACUCUGUGGUGCUGGAGAAUCAAGGGGAAGCAUUGGCUCAUGGAGGGAAGUUAACCCUAGAACUGACCCCACCUCGGUCUCUUCUGCCGCCCUAUGUAUCAGCAGCACGGGACUGCAGUUAGCAAACUGGUGGGCUUUGGUACUUUCUUCUUCUCAGCUCUUUAGGUAAAUUGUGGUCACUGCUGGGAAGAGUUGCCUGAGCCGUGAUUUACUUUAGAACUGGGGUAGGAAUACCUGCAUUCUAAAGUGAAAUCUGGGUAUAGUUUUGGUGCUGCGAUUCAUUGUGUGGUGUUUGGUCUAUGCACAACCCAGGCCCUGAGCACUUUGCUUCACUGGAUUCAAGCAUGGCUGAAUUUCAGUUAUUCCUUUCCUCCUUCCACUCCCUUUCCCCCUCCGCUCCAUCCCCUCCCUCCUUCCUCCCUUCCCUCUAUCUCUGCAUGGUAAGCAUGCACUGUGUUACUGAGCUAUGCUCCCAGCCCCUCCACUUUCCACCUGUAGUACAAAUAAAUCCAGCAGUUGGGGUGCAGUGUUGGAGUUGUGCAGUUGUAUGACUCCAAGCCCUGACCAAACUUUUCCCUAAUUAGUGAUUACCUUCCUUUCUGGUUGCUAGGAGAAAGUACCUAACACUUUGUUAAAGAAGGCUUUGCUUCUGACACGGUUGCUAGACGUUUCAGUCCACAGUCAGCUGGCUCCAAGGCGGGACGGAAUGGUAGAGGCAUGGCAGAAACAGGUCAUGGCAGGGUGGGCAGAAGGCAGCAAGCACCAAGCAGCAGCUGGCACAAGUCCUGCUUCCUUUCUGCUCCUUCUAUUCCACCCAGGCUACAAGGCCAUUUAUGAUUGGUGCCACUCACACCCAAGGUGGGGCUCCCAUUAUCCAUCCAUACCCUUAACCCAUACACCCUAAGUGACUUCUACAUGUAGUGAUUUUUUGGGGGGUGUCUUUUGGAGACAAGGUUUUGGUAUCGCUGUGCAGUUCAGGCUGUCUUGGAACUUACUUUGUAGCCUAGACUGACCUUCAGUUCCCAGCGAUCUUCCUGCCUAAGCCUCCAAGUGGGCCACCACACCCAGCUAAAUGUGCUAACUCUUGAGAAUGCUAAUUUUUAAAAAUUCACAGAUAUUGACUCUGAUAACAUCUUCCAAGUAUUUUUAGAAAGGCCAAUGCUUGGUUUUUAUUCACAUGGAGAGGCAUGUGGUGGUUUACCUAGGUCUGCUGCACACUGUGGUGUCUCUGCCCCUGGGUUUGGCAAUUCAGGGAGAAAGCAGAUUUCCACCCCUGCCCAUGUUGGACAGCACUGUCAGCCAGGCUGCCCUUUGGAAUCCCGAAGAGAGCUUUAGAAAGCACCCAUGUCUGCACCUGACUCCACAGGAUCUUAUGUAACUGGUCCAGGGAGAGCCUGGGUACUACCAUUGUGCCAGUGCUUCUGGAUGGUUGUGCCAUGCACCAGGCUGCAGAAGCACCGGUGCAAGGUGAACCUGAACAAACAGCUGCUGCUGGCAGAGAGCCUGGCGUGUGCGCCCUGAACGAGCCAUGCCUGCUGUUUCCCGUCCUGCGGACGCAGGAGCAGCUCUCACCUUUGCCCUUCGCCCCUGCUGGAAGGGUGUGUCCCAAUUCGAAGUAGAUGAGAGUUACAUUAGCGAGCAAAGCCAUGGCCUUAGAGGUUCGGCAGGCUUGUUUUUCUCUCAGCAGCCCCUCACUUGUUAGGUACCGGAGACCCAGAUGUUCCUCUGGGGCCUGAGAGGACAGUGUCCUGUGGGCCUGCCCGUUUCCAGGCAGCUGCCUGCCCCUGGGCAGCCGUAGGAGGAGAACCAGGGCUCCCACAGUCCCCGUGCUGGUGCGUACUGCGAGAGGAGCGGUUCACUUCCAGAAAGCCAUCUGCAGCCAUUCAGAAAGAAAUGAAUUGAGUUGAAGAUUCUACAGUUCUAAGGUGCAAAGUGAAUGCGAACAGGAGGUUUUCAUUUCCAUAGAUUCAGCAGGAAUCAGAAAGGACUGGUGAAGCUGAGCAUGGUGGCACUUGCCUGUAAUCCCAGCACUCAGGAGGCCGAGGCAGCAGGAUCCCAACAAAUGCAGGGUCAGCCCAGUGAGAGCCUGACUCAGAAGAAACGAGAGAAAGCAGGAGAGAAAGUGUGGGAGCAGCUUUAAUACGGUGUGAAGGAACAGCACAGUGUGAUGGUGUGAAGGAAAGGUCGCAACCCCAGACCUGUGUUUUUGUUUUGACGGUGUUCUGGAGCGUAGUCCAGGCUGGCUUUCACCUUGCUGAGGAAUCCAGGUCUAACUCUGCUGCACCAGCCUGGUCUCCUGAGGUGUACCUUUGGGGUUUCUGUUUAUUUGUUUGGAAAGAUGACAUUGGAGAACCUUUUUCUUCUGUUCCAGCUGUCGGAGCAAAAAAAUCUGUUUACACUCUUUACAUCGCACUAAAAUGCAAGAAAGGGUGAUAGUGUGUGUGUGUUUUAUUUAUUUUAAUGACCUAAACCCAUAAGAAUGAGGAGACCAGGAAAGGAGACUUUAGCAAAUGAACCAAUCACUAAUACAGAACUUAACAGACCAAACAAGAUGGGCUGAUAACGCGGCACUGGGGAAGCCACCCUGGCCCAACUUACCCUCAUCCCCUCAGAGCUCGGAGCUGCCAGUGUCUAGUGCAUUCAGAAGUAGGGAUAGAGUGGCAGCUGCGGUCAGGGUAGGCUGAAAGCUGGUUAAAAAGCAGCCAGAUGCCCAGAGCCCUUUCCCCGUCCUGGCAAAGGGCCAGGAGGGAACCUGAUAACCUCCAGAGAUGGCAGCACAGAGAAGUCCCUCAACUUGGGGACACUUGGCAUGUCUGACUUUGAUGUUUGAAAAAUGGGGAUCACAGGGGCUGGGGACUUAGCUCAGCGGCAUAAGCGCCUGCCUUGCAAGCAGGCAGUCGUGAGUUUGAUCCCCGGUACCAAUAAAAAGGAAAAAGACAAAAAAAAAAAAAAAGAAAGAAAAAUGGGGAUUACUUAAUACCCUACCCCUUGUCUUCCUGAUUAGUUCCAGGAUCCCCAUAGCCAGGGCCAUGCUGUCCUGGCGGGCGAUUAGACUGGAUUCCUGCAGAGAAUCUGGUCAGACCCAAAGGAAAGGUCCGAAGGGAACACCUCUCGUGGUGGGCGGGCCAGACCCCCCUGUGAUGGACACUUGGUCCAGGCCUUUCCAGUUGGCUGUCCUGUGAAGUGUUAGCAAAUGGGUCCAUGCUAGAGUCAGGAGCAAACAGGAAAAGGCAGAUCACAGAAGAGAGGACCUGCCGGGAAGUCGAUGUCCCCCUCCCCAGACAUUCGGAGGACAGGACUUUCCAAGCUUUCCAGCACAGUGGGUGGAAGCAGACACAUGGGCAUGAAAUCUCCCAAACAAAGAGAAAGUUCUUCACUCAUUGAAAAGGACUUACUGGGCCAGGGAUACAGCUCACUGGCACAGCGCCUGCCUGGCAAGCACAAGGCCGUGAGUUCGAUUCCCAGUACCAAAAGAGAAAGAAAGAAAUCACUGGCCACCUGCCAAGAUCAGGCUGGGAUGAAUUCAGGCUUAGUCAUCUCAGCACAGUGCAUAGGGAAAGUACUUCCUGCCUGGAAUUCUGUAAACUCCACCAUGCUGCAAA